This 468-nucleotide ribosomal RNA is filed under the name uncultured bacterium. RNAcentral describes it as "partial 16S ribosomal RNA". It matches the Rfam family "Bacterial small subunit ribosomal RNA", at positions 28 to 507 of the family's 1533-position model. The record is from RNAcentral.
GACGAACGCUGGCGGCGUGCUUAACACAUGCAAGUCGAACGGAAAGGCCCUGCUUUUGUGGGGUGCUCGAGUGGCGAACGGGUGAGUAACACGUGAGUAACCUGCCCUUGACUUUGGGAUAACUUCGGGAAACUGGGGCUAAUACCGGAUAGGAGCUCCUGCUGCACGGUGGGGGUUGGAAAGUUUCGGCGGUUGGGGAUGGACUCGCGGCUUAUCAGCUUGUUGGUGGGGUAGUGGCUUACCAAGGCUUUGACGGGUAGCCGGCCUGAGAGGGUGACCGGCCACAUUGGGACUGAGAUACGGCCCAGACUCCUACGGGAGGCAGCAGUGGGGAAUAUUGCACAAUGGGCGGAAGCCUGAUGCAGCAACGCCGCGUGCGGGAUGACGGCCUUCGGGUUGUAAACCGCUUUCGCCUGUGACGAAGCGUGAGUGACGGUAAUGGGUAAAGAAGCACCGGCUAACUACGUG